Molecule: ribosomal RNA, 796 nt
Filed under: uncultured Glomeromycotina
Lineage: Eukaryota; Fungi; Glomeromycota
Description: SSU rRNA
Rfam family: Eukaryotic small subunit ribosomal RNA
Source: RNAcentral
AUCAACUUUCGAUGGUAGGAUAGAGGCCUACCAUGGUGGUAACGGGUAACGGGGUGUUAGGGCACGACACCGGAGAGGGAGCCUGAGAAACGGCUACCACAUCCAAGGAUGGCAGCAGGCGCGCAAAUUACCCAAUCCCGACACGGGGAGGUAGUGACAAUAAAUAACAAUACGGGGUCCUUUCGGGUUUCGUAAUUGGAAUGAGUACAAUUUAAAUCUCUUAACGAGGAACAAUUGGAGGGCAAGUCUGGUGCCAGCAGCCGCGGUAAUUCCAGCUCCAAUAGCGUAUAUUAAGGUUGUUGCAGUUAAAAAGCUCGUAGUUGAAUUUCGGGAUUAGUACGUUGGUCGUGCCUUCGGUACGUACUGGUGUUACUGAUUCCUACCUUCUGACGAACCAUCAUGUCAUUAAUUUGGUGUGGCGGGGAAUCAGGACUGUUACUUUGAAAAAAUUAGAGUGUUUAAAGCAGGCUCGCGCUUGAAUACAUUAGCAUGGAAUAAUGAAAUAGGACGUUGACCCUAUUUUGUUGGUUUCUAGGAUUGACGUAAUGAUUAAUAGGGAUAGUUGGGGGCAUUAGUAUUCAAUUGUCAGAGGUGAAAUUCUUGGAUUUAUUGAAGACUAACUACUGCGAAAGCAUUUGCCAAGGAUGUUUUCAUUAAUCAAGAACGAAAGUUAGGGGAUCGAAGACGAUCAGAUACCGUCGUAGUCUUAACCAUAAACUAUGCCGACUAGGGAUCGGAUGAUGUUAUUUUUAAUGACUCAUUCGGCGCCUUACGGGAAACCAAAGUGUUUGGGUUC